This 256-nucleotide ribosomal RNA is filed under the name uncultured bacterium. RNAcentral describes it as "partial 16S ribosomal RNA". It matches the Rfam family "Bacterial small subunit ribosomal RNA", at positions 521 to 776 of the family's 1533-position model. The record is from RNAcentral.
UAAUACGGAGGAUCCGAGCGUUAUCCGGAUUUAUUGGGUUUAAAGGGUGCGUAGGCGGGCUUAUAAGUCAGCGGUGAAAGUUUGCGGCUCAACCGUAAAAUUGCCGUUGAUACUGUGAGUCUUGAGUGUAGAUGAGGUGGGUGGAAUUCGUGGUGUAGCGGUGAAAUGCAUAGAUAUCACGAAGAACUCCAAUUGCGUAGGCAGCUCACUGGGCUACAACUGACGCUGAGGCACGAAGGUGCGGGGAUCAAACAGG